GUAAAAACAAAUUCUGGGAGAUGUGGGCAGAGCCUGUUUCAUCAAAGAGCAAAGGUUGUAAACCCACAUCAUUCCUGGCAUUCCCUGAAGAACUGCUACUCAUCCCAUUACAAAGAAGACAUAAGCCACCUGUUUAAUAAUCCUGGCUCUCCAGUGCUUCUCAGAGUGUACAAGGCCCUUUUGUUCUUUACUGUUGUGAGUUCUACAGUUUCCGUGUGAACUGUUUGCUGAAGACCUAAGCUAAGACAUAUUAUUCUAUCAUCUGGAAGUCACCUUUUUCCGCAAGGCCAGAACGUCACAGAAAGAAAGGCCUACUUCAAUUCUGGAGAAGACCAAGAGACUGGCUUCUCUAAGAAAUCUGUCCCAAACAACUGGAGAAGGGGUUAUGCCAAAAGCUGUUGCCUGUACCUGGAAUAAGUUUUUCUAGGAUGCCUACUGUCACUGCCUUGUGCCCUUAUCACUGUCCCAGAACCUAGUGAAUUAGUGAGGUGCAGCUGCUUUCCUGAGCUUUGACCAUGGUGAA
This 523-nucleotide long non-coding RNA is filed under the name Mus caroli (Ryukyu mouse). RNAcentral describes it as "lncRNA (MGP_CAROLIEiJ_G0003090.1)". The record is from RNAcentral. Lineage: Eukaryota; Metazoa; Chordata; Mammalia; Rodentia; Muridae.